This 357-nucleotide ribosomal RNA is filed under the name uncultured bacterium. Its description in RNAcentral is "partial 16S ribosomal RNA". It matches the Rfam family "Bacterial small subunit ribosomal RNA", at positions 527 to 881 of the family's 1533-position model. The record is from RNAcentral.
GGAAGGUCCGGGCGNNAUCCGGANUNACUGGGUNUNAAGGGAGCGNAGGCCGGAGANUAAGCGNGUNGUGAAANGUAGACGCNCAACGUCUGCACUGCAGCGCGAACUGGUUUUCUNGAGUACGCAAAAGUGGGCGGAAUUUUGGGUGUAGCGGUGAAAUGCGUAGAGAUCUGGAGGAAUACCGGUGGCGAAGGCGGCCCCCUGGACGAAGACUGACGCUCAGGUGCGAAAGCGUGGGGAGCAAACAGGAUUAGAUACCCUGGUAGUCCACGCCGUAAACGAUGUCGACUUGGAGGUUUGUGCCCUUUGAGGCGUGGCUUUCCGGAGCUAACGCGUUAAGUCGACCGCCUGGGGAGU